UCACUGCUCCUCAAGUGUAUAGCUAGAAAAUAAAUUGUGUAUUAUCCUGUAUACAGAAUUUUAAACUAUAUAGACCAAUGUGAUGUUGUGAACUACUCCCCGUGAUAACUGAGAAUAGAAAAUGGAAAACUAUGGUGCAAACGAAGGAAGUGCAAAUAAUCAAUGAUUCAUUUGUCGAACUCCCAAAUGACUCCUCCAUCCUCUGCAAUUACAAGGUCAAAUAACUUAAAAGACAAACCAACAAAAACAGAGUAAAAAAUAAAAAUGUAUAAAUUGAAAAUUAAAAUCAAACAAAUGCUAUGGCACAUUGAAGAGUAGUGGGAUGUUUGGAAAGCUGAAUAUGUUUUCCUUGACAGUUGACACUGAGCCUUCACAAACAAAUAUACCCAUAAUGUAUGAGGGAAAGUCUUUGAAGCUUGAAUAGUGUAGCUCUUGAGAAGCUUGAACAGUGAUGUUAUUACAUUAGAAAAGCUUGAACAAACUUAAUACCACAUUACCAAACACAUAAAAUAGUAAACUACAACGGAUCAACCAAACAUAAAACACCUGCCAAACAACAAACUUAAUACCAUAUUACCGAGGAGAGGAGUGUCGUCGCCGCUCGCCGAGGUGGUGAAGUCGUCGUCGCCCUAUGCUAUUGUAGUCAUGAAUCAGCAGCAGCCAAGCAAUGUUGUAUUUUUUUUUUAUAGAGAAAUCUAGGGUUAGAAAAAUAGAAAAGGGAAUAAGGGUAAGCAGAUACUGCCCGUAAGUGAUAAGUCUACUUGAGCGC
Molecule: long non-coding RNA, 769 nt
Filed under: Nicotiana tabacum (common tobacco)
Lineage: Eukaryota; Viridiplantae; Streptophyta; Magnoliopsida; Solanales; Solanaceae
Description: long non-coding RNA (NTAB_LNC007704)
Source: RNAcentral